UCUGCAACUAAAUUUCAAAAGUCAUCAUUCUUUGUAAUUGCCCAAAAUAAAAUGAGAGAACAACAGAGAGUGAAUAAUCUAAGUUAAGAAACUGAAUCUCUGAAAUUCUCUGUGGAAUGUGCAUUUGGGAGAAGAGAAACAACUAAACAAUCAGAGAGAAGCAAAGAAAGGAGGCUGCGAGUGAUCCAAAACAGUACUUACCAUGCCCAUUACUCCACAGCCUGUAACAACUCUUGGAAACCUCUUAAGAAUCCGACAAUUGAAGAUAAUUCCAAGCACCCCAUGUGAGUGAGACCACUCUACUCUUCUCUUUUUAGUCUCCCUCCUCCCAUAUCUCAGUUUUCACUGCGCUAUCUCUCUGCUUUCUGCUGCUCUCACUUUCACUGCUAUUUGUUGCCACUUUCCCGAUAAAAUUCCAGCUUGAAUUUUCUGGGAUUUCUCCAAAAUCAUGUGGGAUUCUGAGACUGAGUCGGUUGGAGGGAGAGAUUACAAGAAUGGAGGUCUCUGUUCAUCCAAGCACAAUGUUAAGACUGAUGGCUUUGAGCUCAAAGGCAACUCUUGGUAUGUAGCAACUGAUAUCCCAAGCGACCUGCUAGUUCAAGUUGGGGAUGUAAAUUUUCACUUGCACAAGUAUCCCCUGCUUUCAAGGAGUGGAAAGAUCAACAGAGUCAUAUAUGAAUUACGCAACCCGGACCUGAGUAAGAUGUGUUUGGAUGAUCUUCCUGGUGGACCACAGGCCUUCGAGUUAGCUGCGAAAUUCUGCUAUGGAAUUGCUGUGGAUCUAACAGCAGCAAAUAUUUCAGGCUUGAGAUGUGCUGCAGAGUACCUUGAAAUGACAGAGGACUUGGAAGAAGGCAACCUUAUCUUCAAAACUGAGGCUUUUCUUAGCUAUGUGGUUUUAUCCUCAUGGAGAGACUCCAUUGUGGUGUUGAAAAGCUGCGAGAAGCUGUCACCGUGGGCUGAAAAUCUUCAAAUUGUCCGAAGAUGCAGCGAGUCUAUUGCUUGGAAAGCUUGUGCCAAUCCAAAAGGGAUAAGAUGGGCAUACACUGGAAAGCCAACAAAAGUUGCUAACCCAAACUGGGGUGACAUGAAGGACUCAAGUCCAAGUAGAAGCCAGCAGGUCCCUCCUGAUUGGUGGUUUGAAGAUGUUUCGAUUCUAAGGAUCGAUCAUUUUUUCAGAGUUAUUACCGCAAUUAAGGUAAAGGGGAUGAGAUUUGAACUGAUUGGAGCUGCAAUGAUGCAUUACGCAUCUAAGUGGCUUCCAGGUUUGAUCAACGAAGGCACAGGUACAGCUGAUGAAGGAAGCAACAGCAGCAAUAGUACAAGUAAUAGUAGCGGUAGUUGGAAAGGUGGACUUCAUAUGAUUCUGGCAGGAAAUAAAGAUGAGUCUUCAAGUGUUCAGGCCAAAGAUCAACGGAUGAUCAUUGAGAGCCUUAUCAGCAUAAUCCCACCACAGAAGGAUAGUGUCUCGUGCAGCUUCCUUCUUCGGCUUUUGAGAAUGGCAAACAUGCUGAAAGUAGCACCUGCUUUGGUUACUGAGUUGGAAAAACGGGUGGGAAUGCAAUUCGAACAGGCUACUUUGGCGGAUCUUCUUAUUCCUUCUUACAAUAAAUGUGAAACUAUGUACGACGUGGAUCUUGUUCAAAGGCUUCUGGAGCACUUUCUGGUUCAAGAACAGACGGAAAUUUCAAGUCCAAGCCAACAAUCUUUCCCUGGGAAGCACUAUGAUGACCUUCAAAGGUCUACUGGUCCAAAUGCUAAGAUGAGGGUAGCUAGGCUUGUUGAUAGUUAUCUUACAGAGGUGUCCAGAGAUAGAAGCCUCUCCCUAACAAAGUUUCAGGUACUGGCAGAAGCUUUGCCCGAGUCUGCAAGGAUCUGCGAUGAUGGACUUUAUAGAGCAGUUGAUUCCUAUCUUAAGGCCCAUCCAACACUUUCUGAGCACGAAAGGAAGAGGCUUUGCCGGGUGAUGGAUUGCCAAAAGCUAUCAAUUGAUGCCUGCAUGCAUGCUGCCCAAAACGAAAGACUCCCAUUGAGAGUGGUAGUGCAGGUCCUUUUCUGUGAACAAGUUAAAAUAAGCAAUGCAUUAGCCACAAGCUCCCUCAAAGAAGCUGGAGACUCUCAGUAUCAGCCAAUGGUUUCGAAUCGAAAAACACUACUCGAAGGGACCCCGCAGUCGUUCCAAGAAGGAUGGGCUGCCGCUAAAAAAGACAUUAACACGGUUAAAUUCGAACUGGAGAGUGUGAAAGCCAAGCACCUAGAGCUCCAGCAUGACAUGGAGAAUUUGCAGAGACAGUUUGAUAAGAUGUCAAAGAAUAAACAGACAUCGGCAUGGAGCAGUGGAUGGAAGAAACUAAGCAAACAACUCACAAAGAACACAAAUUUAGAAAACCAGAACAUCGGGCCGGAGCACACAACGGCUGCAGAUCAGCAGACUACAAAGACACCUAGGAAGUGGAGAAAUUCCAUCUCGUGAAAAUAAGAACGACAGAUUGAAGGAAAUAGAUAUACAGCUACAUGUUUGACUAAGUGUUCCAAAGGAAUUGCGAGAUUUCUUUUCUGGAGCAAUUGUUCCCAGAGCCUACCUGAUGAACCUCAGUAUCACUGAAAUUUGAUUGUACUAUGGUAGUGAUUUCUGCAUUUCUCAAUGCUGAAAUCUAUUUGUUUUUUCU
Molecule: RNA transcript, 2669 nt
Organism: Pyrus x bretschneideri (Chinese white pear)
Lineage: Eukaryota; Viridiplantae; Streptophyta; Magnoliopsida; Rosales; Rosaceae
Gene name: root phototropism protein 3-like
Exons: 5
Source: RefSeq, a predicted model, not a curated record